UUAAAACCAAAAAAAAA
Molecule: small RNA, 17 nt
Filed under: Arabidopsis thaliana (thale cress)
Lineage: Eukaryota; Viridiplantae; Streptophyta; Magnoliopsida; Brassicales; Brassicaceae
Description: ATSL235840
Source: RNAcentral